RNAcentral lists this ribosomal RNA (487 nucleotides) under uncultured bacterium. RNAcentral's name for it is "bacterial SSU rRNA". It matches the Rfam family "Bacterial small subunit ribosomal RNA", at positions 287 to 765 of the family's 1533-position model. The record is from RNAcentral.
CGGGUCGUGAGAGGAUGAUCCGCCACACUGGGACUGAGACACGGCCCAGACUCCUACGGGAGGCAGCAGUGGGGAAUUUUGGACAAUGGGCGCAAGCCUGAUCCAGCCAUGCCGCGUGAGUGAAGAAGGCCUUCGGGUUGUAAAGCUCUUUCGGCCGGGAAGAAAUCGUGGUCUCUAACAUAGGCCAUGGAUGACGGUACCGGACUAAGAAGCACCGGCUAACUACGUGCCAGCAGCCGCGGUAAUACGUAGGGUGCGAGCGUUAAUCGGAAUUACUGGGCGUAAAGCGUGCGCAGGCGGUUUUGUAAGACAGAUGUGAAAUCCCCGGGCUUAACCUGGGAACUGCGUUUGUGACUGCAAGGCUAGAGUACGGCAGAGGGGGGUGGAAUUCCUGGUGUAGCAGUGAAAUGCGUAGAGAUCAGGAGGAACACCGAUGGCGAAGGCAGCCCCCUGGGCCUGUACUGACGCUCAUGCACGAAAGCGUGGG